This 858-nucleotide unclassified non-coding RNA is filed under the name Hevea brasiliensis (rubber tree). The record is from RNAcentral. Lineage: Eukaryota; Viridiplantae; Streptophyta; Magnoliopsida; Malpighiales; Euphorbiaceae.
UAUCUUGUACGAAUCCGUGAACCUACAAUUGAGAAAAGAACAAUAAGAGAAAUUAAUGAUGAGAGUGCUGCAAGGGAGAUAUCUAUUUUAUACAAGGGUAAACCUUACAUCAUAGCUCUUCAUAUAAUCCAAGAUUUCCAACUUCUAAUGGAUCAAGCAUUAAUACCCUAUUCAUGUAGAUAGCACAUGCUAAAUUUCAAAUUGAUUAGUUCUUUAUAAAUUUUUCAUAAACACAAUUCUUUGCAAUUGAAAUCUACAUAAUAUGCUUUGUAAAAUGUAGAAUAAUACAAGUAGAGCUAUUCAAUGGGAAUAAGAAAAACUCAUUCAUACUUGUCAAUCUGCUAUCGGCGAGAAAAUGAGUAUCUACACCAUCCACUAUUAAUUGAUGUUAGUUUUCCUCCCCCUUUGGGUACUGAUGGACAGGCCAAUUAUAAAUAUGGAACAUAUGAGCAACUUCUAAGUUGAAAAGAACAAAAUUUCCAAAGAGGAGGUUAUGAAAAACUGCAGCCUCUCAUUCAUGAUAAUAUUUUAUUUGAUUUGCAAAUUUGGAUUUUUCAUGGAUAUGGUAUAACAGAAAGGAAAGAACUACAAAUUAUGAGGUUGAUUCUUCUGGAAAUACCAAAUCGUACAUCAGUGAUCAAAUUCUAACCAAAAGACUGCUAGUGGUCAUCAACAAUCAAGGGUCUUGAAAAGCAAAUUUUUCAUUAUCAAAAUACAGCCGAGAAAAAUAAAAGCUACAAAUUCAUAACAGAAAAGUAAAGGACUCUUGCAUCAAUAAAUAGUGCAUUAGAGUGUCCAAGAAUAGCCCUUAUCAUUUAUUUGCAAGUAUAAAGUACCUGAUGAGGAUUUCGGUCUAUG